GAAUAUUGGACAAUGGGGGCAACCCUGAUCCAGCCAUGCCGCGUGUGUGAGGAAGGCCUUAGGGUUGUAAAACACUUUCAGCGGGGAAGAUGAUGACGGUACCCGGAGCAGAAGCCCCGGCUAACUUCGUGCCAGCAGCCGCGGUAAUACGAAGGGGGCAAGCGUUGUUCGGAAUUACUGGGCGUAAAGGGCGCGUAGGCGGUCCGUUGCGUCAGGUGUGAAAUCCCCGGGCUCAACCUGGGAACUGCACUUGAUACGGGCGGGCUGGAAUACGUGAGAGGUUGGUGGAAGUCCCAGUGUAGAGGUGAAAUUCGUAGAUAUUGGGAAGAACACCGGUGGCGAAGGCGGCCAACUGGCACGGUAUUGACGCUGAGGCGCGAAAGCGUGGGGAGCAAACAGG
RNAcentral lists this ribosomal RNA (400 nucleotides) under uncultured bacterium. Its description in RNAcentral is "bacterial SSU rRNA". It matches the Rfam family "Bacterial small subunit ribosomal RNA", at positions 359 to 776 of the family's 1533-position model. The record is from RNAcentral.